AAUCAGACCGCAUGGUCUUGUUAUUAAAGAAUUUCGGUUAUCGAUGGGGAUGCGUUCCAUUAGGCAGUUGGUGAGGUAACGGCUCACCAAACCUUCGAUGGAUAGGGGUUCUGAGAGGAAGGUCCCCCACAUUGGAACUGAGACACGGUCCAAACUCCUACGGGAGGCAGCAGUGAGGAAUAUUGGUCAAUGGGCGCAGGCCUGAACCAGCCAAGUAGCGUGAAGGAUGACUGCCCUAUGGGUUGUAAACUUCUUUUAUAUGGGAAUAAAGUUUUCCACGUGUGGAAUUUUGUAUGUACCAUAUGAAUAAGGAUCGGCUAACUCCGUGCCAGCAGCCGCGGUAAUACGGAGGAUCCGAGCGUUAUCCGGAUUUAUUGGGUUUAAAGGGAGCGUAGGUGGACAGUUAAGUCAGUUGUGAAAGUUUGCGGCUCAACCGUAAAAUUGCAGUUGAUACUGGCUGUCUUGAGUACAGUAGAGGUGGGCGGAAUUCGUGGUGUAGCGGUGAAAUGCUUAGAUAUCACGAAGAACUCCGAUUGCGAAGGCAGCUCACUGGACUGCAACUGACACUGAUGCUCGAAAGUGUGGGUAUCAAACAGGAUUAGAUACCCUGGUAGUCCACACAGUAAACGAUGAAUACUCGCUGUUUGCGAUAUACAGUAAGCGGCCAAGCGAAAGCAUUAAGUAUUCCACCUGGGGAGUACGCCGGCAACGGUGAAACUCAAAGGAAUUGACGGGGGCCCGCACAAGCGGAGGAACAUGUGGUUUAAUUCGAUGAUACGCGAGGAACCUUACCCGGGCUUAAAUUGCAUUUGAAUAAACUGGAAACAGUAUAGCCGUAAGGCAAAUGUGAAGGUGCUGCAUGGUUGUCGUCAGCUCGUGCCGUGAGGUGUCGGCUUAAGUGCCAUAACGAGCGCAACCCUUAUCUUUAGUUACUAACAGGUCAUGCUGAGGACUCUAGAGAGACUGCCGUCGUAAGAUGUGAGGAAGGUGGGGAUGACGUCAAAUCAGCACGGCCCUUACGUCCGGGGCUACACACGUGUUACAAUGGGGGGUACAGAAGGCAGCUACCUGGUGACAGGAUGCUAAUCC
RNAcentral lists this ribosomal RNA (1089 nucleotides) under Bacteroides thetaiotaomicron. RNAcentral describes it as "bacterial SSU rRNA". It matches the Rfam family "Bacterial small subunit ribosomal RNA", at positions 179 to 1274 of the family's 1533-position model. The record is from RNAcentral. Lineage: Bacteria; Pseudomonadati; Bacteroidota; Bacteroidia; Bacteroidales; Bacteroidaceae.